This 446-nucleotide ribosomal RNA is filed under the name uncultured bacterium. Its description in RNAcentral is "partial 16S ribosomal RNA". It matches the Rfam family "Bacterial small subunit ribosomal RNA", at positions 338 to 795 of the family's 1533-position model. The record is from RNAcentral.
CCUACGGGGGGCAGCAGUCGAGAAUUAUUCACAAUGGGGGAAACCCUGAUGGUGCGACGCCGCGUGGGCGAAUGAAGGUCUUCGGAUUUUAAACCCCUGUCAUGUGGGAGCAAAUUAAAAAGAUAGUACCACUAGAGGAAGAGACGGCUAACUCUGUGCCCGCAGCCGCGGUAAUACAGAGGUCUCAAGCGUUGUUCGGGAUCACUGGGCGUAAAGCGUGCGUAGGCUGUUUCGUAAGUCGUGUGUGAAAUGCGCGGGCUCAACCCGCGGACGGCACAUGAUACUGCGAGACCAGAGUAAUGGAGGGGGAAGCGGAAUUCUCGGUGUAGCAGUGAAAUGCGUAGAUAUAGAGAGGAACACUAGAGGCGAAGGCGGGUUCCUGGACAUUAACUGACGCUGAGGCACGAAGGCCAGGGGAGCGAAAGGGAUUAGAUACCCUUGUAGUC